Molecule: small RNA, 967 nt
Filed under: Pan troglodytes (chimpanzee)
Lineage: Eukaryota; Metazoa; Chordata; Mammalia; Primates; Hominidae
Description: retained intron
Source: RNAcentral
GCAGGGGGACACCAACAACAUGAUUGACAGAUUCGAUGUCCGUGCCCACCUGGACCACAUCCCCGACUACACCCCCCCUCUGCUCACCACCAUGUAAGCCACCUCCCAGGGGGUUGCCAGGCACAGUGUCAUACCCAGGAGCCCCUGUUCUUUUCCCAGCCUGCCUGUCACCUUCCUAGGAGCCGAUCCUAUUUGGUACCGCCCUGAGCCUGAGGGGGAUGCCUCAUUUCCCUUCCUGCUGGCUUGGGGUGGGAUCCACUCCUUCUCUCUGAUUUCAAGGUCUCGCCCUUCCCUAAAGCUCCCCAGAACAGGAGUCGGACGAACGGAAGUGUAACUACGAGCGCUACAGAGGCCUGGUGCAGAACGACUUUGCCGGCAUCUCAGAGGAGCAGUGCCUGUACCAGAUCUACAUUGACGAGUUGUACGGAGGCCUCCAGAGACCCAGCGAAGAUGAGAAGAAGAAGCUGGCAGAGAAGAAGGCUUCCAUCGGUUAUACCUACGAGGACAGCACGGUGGCCGAGGUAGAGAAGGCGGCAGAAAAGCCAGAGGAGGAGGAGUCAGCAGCCGAGGAGGAGAGCAACUCGGACGAAGAUGAGGUCAUCCCCGACAUCGGUGGGGUCCCCUCUCUGCCCUCCCCACCUGCAGUCCCUGGGCAUCGUUUCUGUGUCUCGUCCCUCACCCUCUGUGGGGCACCCCGUGCUUACGAACCGUGUCUCUCUCCCUCCCCGGCCCCAGGGCACACCAGCCUCCUGCUGCCCCUGUCUCACUCCUAUCCUCCUCCGUUCCGGCCUUCCUCUGCCUCACUCAUCUCUCAUUUCUAGGCUGCUAUUUCUAUGAUCUUUUCCCCUCCUAGGUGUUGGCUCCAUUCUCCUCCACUUGGGCCGGCCUCUCUCUGCCUUUGCCCCUCUCUCCUGCUCUCUUCCCUCCUCUGGAAAAGAAGUAUUCAUCCUCUUACAGAGUCAGCCCC